UACGUAGGUGGCAAGCGUUGUUCGGAAUUACUGGGCGUAAAGCGCGCGUAGGCGGCUCUUCAAGUCAGACGUGAAAGCCCCGGGCUUAACUCGGGAACUGCGUUUGAUACUGUCGGGCUAGAGUGUGGAAGGGGCGAUUGGAAUUCCGUGUGUAGCGGUGAAAUGCGUAGAUAUACGGAGGAACACCAGGGGCGAAGGCGGAUCGCUGGGCCAACACUGACGCUGAUGUGCGAAAGCUAGGGGAGCAAACGGG
Molecule: ribosomal RNA, 253 nt
Filed under: uncultured bacterium
Lineage: Bacteria
Description: partial 16S ribosomal RNA
Rfam family: Bacterial small subunit ribosomal RNA
Source: RNAcentral